GAUGAACGCUGGCGGCGUGCCUAAUACAUGCAAGUCGAGCGAACGGACGAGAAGCUUGCUUCUCUGAUGUUAGCGGCGGACGGGUGAGUAACACGUGGAUAACCUACCUAUAAGACUGGGAUAACUUCGGGAAACCGGAGCUAAUACCGGAUAAUAUUUUGAACCGCAUGGUUCAAAAGUGAAAGACGGUCUUGCUGUCACUUAUAGAUGGAUCCGCGCUGCAUUAGCUAGUUGGUAAGGUAACGGCUUACCAAGGCAACGGUGCAUAGCCGACCUGAGAGGGUGAUCGGCCACACUGGAACUGAGACACGGUCCAGACUCCUACGGGAGGCAGCAGUAGGGAAUCUUCCGCAAAGGGCGAAAGCCUGACGGAGCAACGCCGCGUGAGUGAUGAAGGUCUUCGGAUCGUAAAACUCUGUUAUUAGGGAAGAACAUAUGUGUAAGUAACUGUGCACAUCUUGACGGUACCUAAUCAGAAAGCCACGGCUAACUACGUG
RNAcentral lists this ribosomal RNA (497 nucleotides) under uncultured bacterium. Its description in RNAcentral is "partial 16S ribosomal RNA". It matches the Rfam family "Bacterial small subunit ribosomal RNA", at positions 28 to 507 of the family's 1533-position model. The record is from RNAcentral.